UACAGAGGUCCCAGGCGUUGUUCGGAUUCACUGGGCGUAAAGGGUGCGUAGGUGGUGAGGUAAGUCGGAUGUGAAAUCUCCGAGCUCAACUCGGAAAUGGCAUUGGAAACUACCUUGCUUGAGGGUUUGAGGGGGGAUUGGAAUACUUGGUGUAGCAGUGAAAUGCGUAGAUAUCAAGUGGAACACCGGUGGCGAAGGCGACACCCUGGACUCAUACUGACACUGAGGUGCGAAAGCGUGGGGAGCAAACAGG
Molecule: ribosomal RNA, 253 nt
Filed under: uncultured bacterium
Lineage: Bacteria
Description: partial 16S ribosomal RNA
Rfam family: Bacterial small subunit ribosomal RNA
Source: RNAcentral